RNAcentral lists this ribosomal RNA (602 nucleotides) under Isaria sp. 07MA19. RNAcentral describes it as "eukaryotic LSU rRNA". The stretch from base 240 to 393 matches the Rfam family "5.8S ribosomal RNA". The record is from RNAcentral. Lineage: Eukaryota; Fungi; Ascomycota; Sordariomycetes; Hypocreales; Cordycipitaceae.
UAGAGGAAGUAAAAGUCGUAACAAGGUCUCCGUUGGUGAACCAGCGGAGGGAUCAUUACCGAGUUUUCAACUCCCAAACCCUUUUGUGAACAUACCUAUCGUUGCUUCGGCGGACUCGCCCCAGCGUCCGGCCGGCCCCGCGCCGGCCGCGGCCUGGAUCCAGGCGGCCGCCGGAGACCCCCAAACUCUGUAUUCUCAGUAUCUUCUGAAUCCGCCGCAAGGCAAAACAAAUGAAUCAAAACUUUCAACAACGGAUCUCUUGGUUCUGGCAUCGAUGAAGAACGCAGCGAAAUGCGAUAAGUAAUGUGAAUUGCAGAAUUCAGUGAAUCAUCGAAUCUUUGAACGCACAUUGCGCCCGCCAGCAUUCUGGCGGGCAUGCCUGUUCGAGCGUCAUUUCAACCCUCGACUUCCCUUUGGGGAAAUCGGCGUUGGGGACCGGCCGUAUACCGCCGGCCCCGAAAUGAAGUGGCGGCCCGUCCGCGGCGACCUCUGCGUAGUAAUCCAACUCGCACCGGAACCCCGACGUGGCCACGCCGUAAAACCCCCGACUUCUGAACGUUGACCUCGGAUCAGGUAGGAAUACCCGCUGAACUUAAGCAUAU